CUGAUUCACAAUCUACAAGGUGAUACAUCAGACAGCUGUUGUCCAGUAGGAAGUCUGAUACACAAUCUAGAAAGUGAUACAUCAGGCGGGUGUUGUCCAGUAGAG
Long non-coding RNA from Haliotis rubra (blacklip abalone), 105 nucleotides. RefSeq lists it as uncharacterized. The record is from RefSeq and is a predicted model, not a curated record. Lineage: Eukaryota; Metazoa; Mollusca; Gastropoda; Lepetellida; Haliotidae. The transcript has 3 exons.